Molecule: ribosomal RNA, 490 nt
Filed under: uncultured bacterium
Lineage: Bacteria
Description: partial 16S ribosomal RNA
Rfam family: Bacterial small subunit ribosomal RNA
Source: RNAcentral
AUUGAACGCUGGCGGCAGGCGUAACACAUGCAAGUCGAAUGGUAACAGGAAACAGCUUGCUGUUUCGCUGACGAGUGGCGGACGGGUGGGUAAUGUCUGGGAAACUGCCUGAUGGAGGGGGAUAACUACUGGAAACGGUAGCUAAUACCGCAUAACGUCGCAAGACCAAAGAGGGGGACCUUCGGGCCUCUUGCCAUCAGAUGUGCCCAGAUGGGAUUAGCUAGUAGGUGGGGUAACGGCUCACCUAGGCGACGAUCCCUAGCUGGUCUGAGAGGAUGACCAGCCACACUGGAACUGAGGCACGGUCCAGACUCCUACGGGAGGCAGCAGUGGGGAAUAUUGCACAAUGGGCGCAAGCCUGAUGCAGCCAUGCCGCGUGUAUGAAGAAGGCCUUCGGGUUGUAAAGUACUUUCAGCGGGGAGGAAGGGAGUAAAGUUAAUACCUUUGCUCAUUGACGUUACCCGCAGAAGAAGCACCGGCUAACUCCGUG